This is a small nuclear RNA of Myotis daubentonii (Daubenton's bat), 103 nucleotides long. Lineage: Eukaryota; Metazoa; Chordata; Mammalia; Chiroptera; Vespertilionidae. The record is from RefSeq and is a predicted model, not a curated record.
UAGCUUUGGCAGCACAUAUACUAAAAUUGGAACGAUACAGAGAAGAUUAGCAUGGCCCCUGUGCAAGGAUGACACCCAAUAAAAAGGAAGGAAGGAAAAAAGG